ACGAGGCAGCAAAUCCGAACAGGCAAAGGCCUCACUCUCCAUAAGAAUGUGCAGUCUGGGAGACGGCCAGGUCUGCACCCUCAUGUUUUUCUGCCUGAUCAGGGUGAAGAGCGGAAAGGUGAGCUCUAAUCCUGGAACUUCUUCCCUGCGCUCUGCCAGCUCCCACCUUGCCACCAUCCUGGGUUCUGGAACCACACCAAGCAGGGCAGAAACCGAAGUGCUUUUGGAAGUCCACAGGAAUUCCCACACCCACCACAGCCCAAUUUCAUCUGCCACAGUUACUCCCUGAACUCAGUGGCUCUGCCGCAGCAGGGAGAUGGUCUGAAGGACAGGCGUGGGGGCAGAAGAAGACCCCAAGGCAUCUCCUCAAGAUGACCACAGUUGUCCCUGAAGAAGCAGUCACAGCAAGCUCACUUCACAGGAACCAAGCUGUGGGCUGAUCCUACAGACUUGAAAAGACAACUCAAAAAAAUUGUCUGUGGGGUCAGAAACAGCUCUGGAGGGGCCUGCAGAAAUUACUUUCUCAAGUCUUUGGGCUGGAAGGAACGAACAGUGCCUGACCAAGGACUUUGAGCAGGAGAGAGAUGGGAGCAGAGAGGAGCCAAGGUCUACU
Molecule: long non-coding RNA, 613 nt
Filed under: Pongo abelii (Sumatran orangutan)
Lineage: Eukaryota; Metazoa; Chordata; Mammalia; Primates; Hominidae
Description: lincRNA
Source: RNAcentral